Molecule: long non-coding RNA, 3340 nt
Filed under: Homo sapiens (human)
Lineage: Eukaryota; Metazoa; Chordata; Mammalia; Primates; Hominidae
Description: HSALNT0328377
Source: RNAcentral
AAGGCUGUUUUCUUUCUUCCUCCUUUCUCUUCGGGCCGUACUAACUCCUAGAUGUAGGGAUAGGUAGGGAAAGUUUCUGCCCACUCCCUCCAUAGGUCACCUGCAGCAUUUCCCAGAAUUCCUGGCUUCUGGAAAGAGUUUCCAGGAAAUGAAGCAGCUGCUGCUUUUUCUCUCUAGAAAGAAUCAAAUUGAUAGCAUGCCUUUGAAUCCCACUUUUAGGCUACACGGAGACAAAUAUACAAGUAGAGAGCAGACUCUCUAGGAGGAAGAAAAGCAGAUAUACCUCCUAGCAGAGUGAAAAGGUUCUUAAGCUUGUGAAUAUAUGAAUUCACAGUGGGAGGUCCAUGUUCAAUCAUUGGUAGGCCAUAUACAAUAAAAAUAAAAGUUGUGUUGUAUGGGUUGGAUCUGUGUCCCCACCAAAUCUCAUGUUGAAAGGUAAUCCCAAAUACUGGAGGUGGGUCUGGUGGGAGGUCAUUGGAUCAUGGGGGCAGUUUCUCAUGGUUUAACACCAUCCCCCCUUGGUGCUGUCUUCAGGAUAGUGAAUUCUCAUGAUAUCUAGUUGUAUAAAAGUGUAUGGCCUCUCCCACCUCUCUCUCUUCCUCCUGUUCCAGCCAUGUGAAGUGCUGGUUUCCCCUUUGCCUUCCACCUUGAUUGUAAGUUCCCUGAGGCCUCCCCAGAAGCUGAUGCUGCCAUGCUUCCUAUACAGCCUACAGAACCAUGAGCCAAUUAAACCUCUUUUCUUUAUAAAUUACCCAGACUCAGGUAUUUCUUUAUAGAAGUGCAAGAAUGGACUAGUACGGGUGUCUACAUGAGAAAUUACUCUUUCUGUUUUAUUACAUCUUUCUUUCUCAGGUUUUGUCCUUCACCUAAAAGUAAUUAAAGCUGAUUAGUUUCAAAAUAAAUUAUGUACUUGAUAUAUGGUAUGCUUCUGAAUAAUUAAUCUUUAUAUUGUUUAAGGGUCAUAUUUAAAUAUUUUAAUGCUUUUAAUAAUUACUUUUUAUUCCUGUAACAAGAAAAUAUAUUUCCUCCAAAAUAUAUGUGGCUCCUGGCAAGUAGCCAUUUUUCAACUUUAUGAUUCACUUAAAAAACAUGUUUUUCAUAUUAUAAACCAUGCUGUUUCAUUUUUGUCUUGCUUUGAGCAGAAAUAGUGUAUGGUAAAAGCUAAGAGAAAAAACAGGAGAAAUUUGGUAAGUGGCAGUCUUUAGAUGAUCUUGGCCUAUUUCAAAAUUUUUAUCUCAACCUUGUUAUAUUAAUUUCACUUUAUGUGCAUAUUUGAGUUAAAAAAUGUCUUGGUAUCAAUGUUAUGUUCAUAUAUUUCUUUUUAAAUUUGGUUAUGUAAAACAUGUAAAAUAUAUGGAUAUUUGAGCAGUAAAAACAUUUUGAACCUUUAAUUCAACUUUUUCCACAGAAUUUUGACUGCCUUAUCUCAUAAAAGAAGUAUGUGUGUUCAUCUUAUUUUCACUAUUGAGAUAAAUCACACAAAAAACCCAACAGUGAGCAGUAAAGAUUCACUUAUACAUGACCUGAAGGUUGGAGAAUUACCAGGCCCCAUGUAGUUUACAUUGUCCAAAACCACCCUGACGAGAGUUACAAGGGGAGUCAUAGGGGAAGUUCUAACUCUCAGACAAAUGUUGCAGGAAACACUGACUGCUACUUAUAGAGAGGUCCAGGAAAUAAAGUAUUCCUGUUAAGUUUGGAAAAGCUGCACAAAUGUGUCUUUACUUAGCAACUCACAACACCUUUGAAUACAGGAAAGACUCCUGACUUUAAAGAAAGCUACCUGACUUUAUUAACCCCAGUGUUAACAUUCUGUAGAACAUUGUUCUUAAACAAGCUUUUAAUCCGGUGGUCCUGUAAAGGCUCAAAUGUCCUAAUCCCUUUGCCAACGUGGAGGAGUACUGUAUGUCUUCAAGAGCCCAGGAGUUCUAUCUAGGAAAUAUCCUCUUUCCCCGGGUCUAGAUUAUACCAGCCAAGUUAGCCUCAUGGCAGGCCCAUGUGGGACCUACAGAACUUCCUGAUAUUUAUGAGGUUUAUAGUUUAAACCCCAAAUUGGAGUCUAACUUAGAGGGUGGGGUAAGGAAGAAACUUUACAUAGGUAAGUUUCUGAUCCUUAUCCUGAAAAAAGAACACGAGUUCACUGGGAUCCACCUUACAGCCCAGGCAUUGUAAACGCUGAGGAUUUUCUUCACUUUGGUCCCUAUCUUAUUCUAUACCAUGCCGCAGUAUGCAUACAAAGUAAAAACAGUCAACUCUAAUGCCAUUAUAGGGAUGAGUCUAUCACAGGAAGAGCUCUUGGUCCUGUGGCUCUGCAUUGGCCUGCCAGAAUCAACAAUGAUGUCUGGGAGCUGACGUGUCUUGGCUGAAGUCAGCAUUCAAGGCGAUUAUCUAGGUCACUGCAGCCUAGAGCAGCUGCGGACUCAACUCAGGCAGGCAACUCACAAGGCUAAGCAGAUGCACCAUUCUGUAAAUACUGGCACUGGAGAUGUUGAAAACUACCAGGAAAUUCUCUACUAAGAGUUUUCCAUUCCUGAGGCUUUUUAUAGAACUAGCCACAAUUCUAUCACUGCAGUCUCAUUCCUGCAGAACCUGGAGGGGUUUGAGGAAUAAUUUUAUUCAGCAUCCAUAGAGCCAAGUACAAAAGAACCCUCUUCUAACAAGGUGGCAAGCUGGAAAGGCUUGACCCCAACCAUCUGUGCACAUGUCUCAGGCCAUUAGAAUCGCUUUAGGCCAUUCCUGCCGGUUGGGUCUUUGGGAGGCUUCUAUUUGGCACAACAUUUCAAUACGCUAUGACAUAUUAAGCAUGCUCUAGAGCUGAACAUCCAAUCAGAAAGGCCCGGGUGGAUGGCAGAGGGAGCUCCUGAGCCAGUGUCCAUUCUUCACCUUGAGAAGAACAUUAAUGGAUGCUGCAUUUCAGAGCUCCCCAUGUCGAAGAGCUGAAACACUAUUCUAGUUAUUGUUUGUGUCCUAAUGAAAAUGUUCCUCUAUUUCUUUGUUUCCAAAGGAAGUCACCUGCCUCACUGGUAUUCUCAGCCAUAUAAUAGAGAGUUUUGGUAGAGCUAUUUAAGGUGCUCCAGCUACAAAUGCAUUUUUUCAUCAUUUGUCAUCCACAAAACAGUGACCAGACAGAACACAUCCAGAAGAUAUUUGAAAGACACCUUCAGAGCCCUCUCCCCAGAAGUAGAGUGGUGAAAAAUGACAGACGGUGAUGGAGUAAGAAAAUCUCACCCUGCAGCACUUACAUUAUGACCUUAUAAUAUUUUGGUUUGUGUUUAAUUAUCUUCUUAUGCCAAUAAUCUUAUGCAUCUUAUGUUAUUUCAGAUAAUAAACUUAGACAAAAGAA